RNAcentral lists this long non-coding RNA (208 nucleotides) under Vigna radiata. RNAcentral's name for it is "long non-coding RNA (VRAD_LNC007785)". The record is from RNAcentral. Lineage: Eukaryota; Viridiplantae; Streptophyta; Magnoliopsida; Fabales; Fabaceae.
GUGAAUGCAUGAAUGAACUUAUUGAGUCGUAACCAGCACCGUUAGAAAAUUGACGUCGUAACCAAAAAGGAGUCAAUUGAACAGUUUUUUCAAAAAGUGGGAUCAAUUGUUACUAAAAAAAAAGGUAGGACCAUAUUGAACAAAACCUCCCAAACUAGGGACCAAAAGCGAUAUUAAACCUAAUUAUUAUUAACUCAUGGAAUCCACU